GCGUGAGCGAUGAAGGCCUUAGGGUUGUAAAGCUCUUUUACCCGGGAUGAUAAUGACAGUACCGGGAGAAUAAGCCCCGGCUAACUCCGUGCCAGCAGCCGCGGUAAUACGGAGGGGGCUAGCGUUGUUCGGAAUCACUGGGCGUAAAGCGCACGUAGGCGGCGAUCUAAGUCAGAGGUGAAAGCCCGGGGCUCAACCCCGGAAUAGCCUUUGAGACUGGAUUGCUGGAAUCUGGGAGAGGUGAGUGGAAUUCCGAGUGUAGAGGUGAAAUUCGU
Molecule: ribosomal RNA, 275 nt
Filed under: uncultured bacterium
Lineage: Bacteria
Description: partial 16S ribosomal RNA
Rfam family: Bacterial small subunit ribosomal RNA
Source: RNAcentral